AUACGGAGGGAGCGAGCGUUAAUCGGAAUUACUGGGCGUAAAGCGCGCGUAGGCGGCUUUGUAAGUCGGAUGUGAAAGCCCCGGGCUCAACCUGGGAAUUGCAUUCGAUACUGCAGAGCUAGAGUAUGGUAGAGGGAAGUGGAAUUUCCGGUGUAGCGGUGAAAUGCGUAGAUAUCGGAAGGAACACCAGUGGCGAAGGCGACUUCCUGGGCCAAUACUGACGCUGAGGUGCGAAAGCGUGGGGAGCAAACAGGAUUAGAUACCCCGGUAGUCC
This 274-nucleotide ribosomal RNA is filed under the name uncultured bacterium. RNAcentral describes it as "partial 16S ribosomal RNA". It matches the Rfam family "Bacterial small subunit ribosomal RNA", at positions 523 to 796 of the family's 1533-position model. The record is from RNAcentral.